Molecule: long non-coding RNA, 1111 nt
Organism: Triticum aestivum (bread wheat)
Lineage: Eukaryota; Viridiplantae; Streptophyta; Magnoliopsida; Poales; Poaceae
Exons: 6
Source: RefSeq, a predicted model, not a curated record
AGCCCUGAUAUCCAUCCGAGCCUCUCCCCUUCUCCUCGCAGCCGCGCACCGCCGCCGGUACUCCCGCCGGCGCCGCCCGCGCUCCACCUCCUGUCUCUCCUUUGAUCUGCACCAUACGCCCAGGUCCUCCCUCCUCCGCUUCCCAGGCCUCGCAGCCCCUUCACCUUCCAGCGACCGCGGCGCCAGAUCAGCGGCCCGACUGAGGCGGCGGCGAACCGUAGCCACAACGGGUCGCCGGCGCCCGUCCUCGCCUCGGCUGCCUCCUUGCCUCCUCGGUUUUGCGGCCGUAAGGAGCUGCAUCCAGCCUGGGAUGAGGUCCGGCACAGGGAACCGGCCUGGGGAAAUGGACCGAUGGAGGCCGCGUCGAACCCUAGCCGCAACCGGUCGUUGGCGCCCAUCCCGCGCCGCGGCUGAUCACCCCGAGCUCCCUCCUCGUCUCCUCUGUUUUGCGGCCGAAGGAGAUGCAGCCUGCGUGGGACGAGGUUGGACGUAGUGAACCGGCCCGGCGAAAUGACCCACGGGGGCACCAAGCACGGCGAGGACCAGCCUCCUCCUCUUUCUCUUUGACCUCAAUCAAUGACGCUCUCUACCAUACACCGUGGCCUUUGGCAUUGGCUGGCUUCAUGGAACAUUUUUCACUGGAAAACAUCCAAAUCCAAUGUCGAGAAGCUUGGCGUUGACAAGAUCUGAAGCUCUGCACCAGACUCUCAAGCACUAAAGCAGAACGCAACCACCUUGGCCAUUCCUCCGGUGUGCAUGAUUUGACGCUCUCUACCCUACAUGUACAUGAGCUUCUGUACUCCAGCUUUGUUCAUGGACGACUGGCCUGCAAAAACUCACUCCGACACCUCCUGCGUGGCUUCCCCUGCGCCUCUCGUGGCCACUUUUCUCUGACUCCGGCAUAGACCUCAAUGACACUCUACCUGAGCCGGUGGCCCUCGGCAUCGACCUCGGUGUCAUGAAGAACAUCCAAGAUUAUAUGGUCGAGAAGCUCAGCGUCGACAAGAGCAUCAUCCUAGAGCUCUGCAUCAUCCUCUACAAGCAAGUACCGAACCACCAUGGCCAUGCCACUGGCCAUUGUGCACCAAUUUGACGACGAUGAUUUCCACAG